UUUUCUUCGGAACUCUUUCAAGGUGCUGCAUGGUUGUCGUCAGCUCGUGCCGUGAGGUGUCGGGUUAAGUCCCAUAACGAGCGCAACCCUUAUCGUUAGUUGCCAGCGGGUAAUGCCGGGAACUCUAGCGAAACUGCCGGUGUAAACCGAGAGGAAGGUGGGGAUGACGUCAAAUCAGCACGGCCCUUAUGUCCAGGGCUACACACGUGUUACAAUGGCCGGUACAGAGGGCAGCUACCUGGAGACAGGAUGCGAAUCUCGAAAGCCGGUCUCAGUUCGGAUCGGAGUCUGCAACCCGACUCCGUGAAGCUGGAUUCGCUAGUAAUCGCGCAUCAGCCAUGGCGCGGUGAAUACGUUCCCGGGCCUU
Molecule: ribosomal RNA, 367 nt
Filed under: uncultured Sphingobacteriales bacterium
Lineage: Bacteria; Pseudomonadati; Bacteroidota; Sphingobacteriia; Sphingobacteriales
Description: bacterial SSU rRNA
Rfam family: Bacterial small subunit ribosomal RNA
Source: RNAcentral